CCCUUUCGGACAUGCGCGCUCGGAGCAAGGCGCCCUCGCACUCAGCUUACCGCGCAUGUACGUUGCCAGGGGUAACGCAGGUAGCCAAAGUGGCUUGUGGAGUGGCGACCGUUAGUGAGGCGGUUGCUGAGACAGACGCUGAGGCGGGUAGGAGGAGCCCGAGCCGUAAGGGAAGCCGUGAUGAGGGCCGUGUUGACGUGGAGAGAUAAAGCCGAGCACUGUAUAAAUGACAUCGCAUUUAAGCCUGAUGGAACUCAACUGAUUUUGGCUGCCGGAAGCAGAUUACUGGUUUAUGACACCUCUGAUGGCACCUUACUUCAGCCCCUCAAGGGACACAAAGACACUGUGUACUGUGUGGCAUAUGCGAAGGAUGGCACAAUGAUGCUAUACAAUGUGUCUCCUACAAUCCUAU
This 412-nucleotide long non-coding RNA is filed under the name Pan troglodytes (chimpanzee). RNAcentral's name for it is "long non-coding RNA NONPTRT011581". Lineage: Eukaryota; Metazoa; Chordata; Mammalia; Primates; Hominidae. The record is from RNAcentral.